Molecule: long non-coding RNA, 1488 nt
Filed under: Homo sapiens (human)
Lineage: Eukaryota; Metazoa; Chordata; Mammalia; Primates; Hominidae
Description: non-protein coding SNHG18:12
Source: RNAcentral
CUCCUCCUCCUCCUCCUCCCCGCCGGGGUGAAACUCGAGCGCCCCACCCGCGCCUGACCUCCCCGAGCCCCUCCCCGGGCCCCGCCCCUUCCCGGUACAGGACCCCCACCUUCGCUCCUGGGAGCCCCGCUGCACCCCAGGAGUUCCAUUCCAGCCUCCCCAGUGCGAGUGCGGCCGAGCGCUGACUUUUGGGGGCUCCCUCCCCCGUCUCACUGGGUCCCUCUGCGGCUCCCCCGCCCGCUGUCCCGGUUCAGACGUGGCUGCACCCCGGAGGGGGGCGCCGGCCGAGACCUGAGACGUGGCGCUCCCUCUCUGCCGGCCUCGGCUUCAGUGCUUGAAUUUCAGCCACAUCCCUAAGCUGCCAUCUCAGACCAGAGGAACAGGGAGGGGGGCUUUCUGGAAAGAACAUCACCUGGAAGAAAUCAGGACAUGACUGUGGGCCAUGAGUGACCUUCAAAGGAAAGCCGGGUAUCUGUGGUCUUUAAGAUGUGAUCCAUGACAUUUAAAAACUGAAGAAAUGGAAAGAUCAUCUGAUCAGGCCCAUCAGUCUUUUUCCUAAUGCUAAACAUUGGUACAAAGACGUGAAGUUUGAUGUCUCACUAAGAUUGCCUAGGGCUGCUUUAUUGCUCACCUACUUCAAAGUAUUGGGAAAACAUGAUUAUGGGUACAGGUGAUGCUGUGUUGCCCCCAGACAGGUUUCUUUUGUCAGGUUCUUUUGAUGGAUUAGGAACCUACAAGUGGGGAGAUUUUAGGGAAAUAGCCCCUCCACUUGGAUUUCACCAAAACGUCUUUAGGGUUCUCUUACCCCAAGAAACACGCAUUCCUCUUUAGUGUGGCAGCCCACUCUAUUGGCAAAGUUAAGCAGACCAGUUUUACUAAAAAGGAGCCACCCAGAAACUUAGACAGAAAAUACUUGAGGCACAGAUGAGAAUGAGCACAAAUGUGCAUAGCAAGUGCAGUUUCCUGGCCCUUAAACUGAAGGGCCAGGUCAGUCUGCUCCUCCAGGCACAGCCUGGGACCCCAUCAUGUGCCCCACUCUGCAGUCUGAGCUUCCACUCAAGUCCACCAGGGCCUGCCUCACAUAUAUAUACAAGACCCAAUGUCAGAGUCUGCCUCUGCCCAUGUCUGGUCAGAGGGUUGCACUUUGCCACUGCUACAUGUUCCCAGAGGUUGGCACAGCAUGACCUGGACCUCACCUAACCCAGGCAAACUCUGCUCAUCUUCGAGCUCUCUGGAACCCAUUUCUCAAGGGAGAACCACAUUCCCCCACCUCACAGCCAAGUUCAAGGAAGCAGCCUGGCUAAAGCAAUGACUCAAGGAUACCAGAAGCAGAGCACGCAUUUAAGAAGAUGCGCUGACUCGCAGGAGCAGCUGACUCUUCUUAAGAAGAGUUUACUGAUUCUUCUUUCAGUACGGGCCUUUUAAUAAGAUAUUGUAUUUUACUUCAGCUAUGGGUGCAGACAAUUAAAGGAUUCUAGAAAUCUGAAA